UACGGAGGGUGCAAGCGUUAUCCGGAUUUACUGGGUUUAAAGGGAGCGUAGGUGGGUCUGUAAGUCAGUGGUGAAAUCUUCGAGCUUAACUCGGAAACUGCCAUUGAUACUAUAGAUCUUGAAUUAUCUGGAGGUAAGCGGAAUAUGUCAUGUAGCGGUGAAAUGCUUAGAUAUGACAUAGAACACCAAUUGCGAAGGCAGCUUACUACGCAUAUAUUGACGCUGAGGCACGAAAGCGUGGGGAUCAAACAGG
RNAcentral lists this ribosomal RNA (253 nucleotides) under uncultured bacterium. Its description in RNAcentral is "partial 16S ribosomal RNA". It matches the Rfam family "Bacterial small subunit ribosomal RNA", at positions 524 to 776 of the family's 1533-position model. The record is from RNAcentral.